GAUGAACGCUGGCGGCGUGCCUAAUACAUGCAAGUCGAGCGAACAGAUAAGGAGCUUGCUCCUUUGACGUUAGCGGCGGACGGGUGAGUAACACGUGGGUAACCUACCUAUAAGACUGGAAUAACUCCGGGAAACCGGGGCUAAUGCCGGAUAACAUUUAGAACCGCAUGGUUCUAAAGUGAAAGAUGGUUUUGCUAUCACUUAUAGAUGGACCCGCGCCGUAUUAGCUAGUUGGUAAGGUAACGGCUUACCAAGGCAACGAUACGUAGCCGACCUGAGAGGGUGAUCGGCCACACUGGAACUGAGCCACGGUCCAGACUCCUACGGGAGGCAGCAGUAGGGAAUCUUCCGCAAUGGGCGAAAGCCUGACGGAGCAACGCCGCGUGAGUGAUGAAGGUCUUCGGAUCGUAAAACUCUGUUAUUAGGGAAGAACAAAUGUGUAAGUAACUGUGCACGUCUUGACGGUACCUAAUCAGAAAGCCACGGCUAACUACGUG
This 497-nucleotide ribosomal RNA is filed under the name uncultured bacterium. Its description in RNAcentral is "partial 16S ribosomal RNA". It matches the Rfam family "Bacterial small subunit ribosomal RNA", at positions 28 to 507 of the family's 1533-position model. The record is from RNAcentral.